This 447-nucleotide ribosomal RNA is filed under the name uncultured bacterium. RNAcentral's name for it is "bacterial SSU rRNA". It matches the Rfam family "Bacterial small subunit ribosomal RNA", at positions 355 to 825 of the family's 1533-position model. The record is from RNAcentral.
UGGGGAAUCUUGGACAAUGGGCGCAAGCCUGACCCAGCAACGCCGCGUGAAGGAUGAAGUAUUUCGGUAUGUAAACUUCGAAAGAAUAGGAAGAAUAAAUGACGGUACUAUUUAUAAGGUCCGGCUAACUACGUGCCAGCAGCCGCGGUAAUACGUAGGGACCAAGCGUUGUUCGGAUUUACUGGGCGUAAAGGGCGCGUAGGCGGCAUGACAAGUCACUUGUGAAAUCUCUGGGCUUAACCCAGAACGGCCAAGUGAUACUGUCGCGCUAGAGUGCAGAAGGGGCAAUCGGAAUUCUUGGUGUAGCGGUGAAAUGCGUAGAUAUCAAGAGGAACACCUGAGGUGAAGACAGGUUGCUGGGCUGACACUGACGCUGAGGUGCGAAAGCUAGGGGAGCGAACAGGAUUAGAUACCCGGGUAGUCCCUGAGCGGGCUGGCAAGGCGCAU